CCUACGGAGGCAGCAGUGGGGAAUAUUGCACAAUGGGCGCAAGCCUGAUGCAGCAACGCCGCGUGAGGGACGACGGCCUUCGGGUUGUAAACCUCUUUUAGUAGGGAAGAAGCGAAAGUGACGGUACCUGCAGAAAAAGCACCGGCUAACUACGUGCCAGCAGCCGCGGUAAUACGUAGGGUGCAAGCGUUAUCCGGAAUUAUUGGGCGUAAAGAGCUCGUAGGCGGUUUGUCGCGUCUGCUGUGAAAACUGGAGGCUCAACCUCCAGCCUGCAGUGGGUACGGGCAGACUAGAGUGCGGUAGGGGAGAUUGGAAUUCCUGGUGUAGCGGUGGAAUGCGCAGAUAUCAGGAGGAACACCGAUGGCGAAGGCAGAUCUCUGGGCCGUAACUGACGCUGAGGAGCGAAAGCAUGGGGAGCGAACAGGAUUAGAUACCCUGGUAGUCCAUGCCGUAAACGUUGGGAACUAGAUGUAGGGACCAUUCCACGGUUUCUGUGUCGCAGCUAACGCAUUAAGUUCCCCGCCUGGGGAGUACGGCCGCAAGGCUAAAACUCAAAGGAUUGACGG
RNAcentral lists this ribosomal RNA (566 nucleotides) under uncultured bacterium. Its description in RNAcentral is "bacterial SSU rRNA". It matches the Rfam family "Bacterial small subunit ribosomal RNA", at positions 338 to 916 of the family's 1533-position model. The record is from RNAcentral.